GACGUAGGGCGCGAGCGUUGUCCGGAUUUAUUGGGCGUAAAGAGCUCGUAGGCGGUUUGUCGCGUCGUCUGUGAAAUCCCGUGGCUCAACUGCGGGCUGGCAGUCGAUACGGGCAGGCUGGAGUUCGGUAGGGGAGACUGGAAUUCCUGGUGUAGCGGUGAAAUGCGCAGAUAUCAGGAGGAACACCGGUGGCGAAGGCGGGUCUCUGGGCCGAUACUGACGCUGAGGAGCGAAAGCGUGGGGAGCGAACAGG
RNAcentral lists this ribosomal RNA (253 nucleotides) under uncultured bacterium. Its description in RNAcentral is "partial 16S ribosomal RNA". It matches the Rfam family "Bacterial small subunit ribosomal RNA", at positions 524 to 776 of the family's 1533-position model. The record is from RNAcentral.